This 275-nucleotide unclassified non-coding RNA is filed under the name Rotiferophthora angustispora. Its description in RNAcentral is "partial contains 5.8S ribosomal RNA, internal transcribed spacer 2, and large subunit ribosomal RNA". Lineage: Eukaryota; Fungi; Ascomycota; Sordariomycetes; Hypocreales. The record is from RNAcentral.
CGCACAUUGCGCCCGCCAGUAUUCUGGCGGGCAUGCCUGUUCGAGCGUCAUUUCAACCCUCCGGGCCCCGCGCCCGGGUGCUGGGGAUCGUCCGCCCCUCCGUGGCGGCCGGCCCCGAAAACUAGUGGCGGUCCCGCGGCGACCUCCUCUGCGCAGUAGCUUUAUAUCUCGCAGCUGGAUAGCAGCGCGGCCACGCCGUAAAACCUCCCUCCCUCACGGGAAGGAAUUUAUCAAUGGUUGACCUCGAAUCAGGUAGGAAUACCCGCUGAACUUAA